GGGUAUAGCUCAGUGGUAAAGCAUAUGCUUAGCAUGCAUGAGGUCCUAGGUUCAAUCCUCAGUAUUUCCA
Molecule: transfer RNA, 70 nt
Filed under: Camelus bactrianus (Bactrian camel)
Lineage: Eukaryota; Metazoa; Chordata; Mammalia; Artiodactyla; Camelidae
Also listed under: 2 other names
Rfam family: tRNA
About the family: Transfer RNA (tRNA) molecules are approximately 80 nucleotides in length. Their secondary structure includes four short double-helical elements and three loops (D, anti-codon, and T loops).
Source: Rfam by way of RNAcentral